RNAcentral lists this small RNA (45 nucleotides) under Arabidopsis thaliana (thale cress). RNAcentral describes it as "ATSL243540". Lineage: Eukaryota; Viridiplantae; Streptophyta; Magnoliopsida; Brassicales; Brassicaceae. The record is from RNAcentral.
GGACAAAAACGUGACCGACAAGACGGAGAAAGAUGGUGAGAACUU